AAAUUGAAGGGUUCGAUCCUGGCUCAGAAUGAACGUUGGCGGCGUGGAUUAGGCAUGCAAGUCGUACGGAGGUAGCAAUACCUUAGUGGCGAAAGGGAUAGGAAUACAUAGAUCAUCUGCCCUCAAGUUACGGAUAGCGAUGGGAAACUGUCGGUAAUACGUGAUGUGUUCUCCGGAACAAAGGUGUGAUUCCGCUUGGGGAUGAGUCUAUGUCCUAUUAGCUAGUUGGUGUGGUAACGGCACACCAAGGCGAUGAUG
RNAcentral lists this ribosomal RNA (258 nucleotides) under Planctomycetaceae bacterium. RNAcentral's name for it is "partial 16S ribosomal RNA". It matches the Rfam family "Bacterial small subunit ribosomal RNA", at positions 1 to 281 of the family's 1533-position model. The record is from RNAcentral. Lineage: Bacteria; Pseudomonadati; Planctomycetota; Planctomycetia; Planctomycetales; Planctomycetaceae.